AACGAACGCUGGCGGCAUGCCUAACACAUGCAAGUCGAACGAGACCUUCGGGUCUAGUGGCGCACGGGUGCGUAACGCGUGGGAACCUGCCCUUAGGUUCGGAAUAACUCCCCGAAAGGGGUGCUAAUACCGGAUAAUGUCUUCGGACCAAAGAUUUAUCGCCUUUGGAUGGGCCCGCGUUGGAUUAGCUAGUUGGUAGGGUAAAAGCCUACCAAGGCGGCGAUCCAUAGCUGGUCUGAGAGGAUGAUCAGCCACACUGGGACUGAGACAGGGCCCAGGCUCCAAAGAGGGGCAGAAGUGGGGCAUAUUGGACAAGGGGCGAAAGGCUGGUGCAGCCAUGCGGAGUGUGUGAAGAAGGUCUUAGGCGUGGAAAGCAGAAUAAGUGGGGAGGAAGGGCAGUAGGUUAAUAACUCGCUGUUUUGACGGUACCAAAAGAAUAAGCACCGGCUAACUUCGUG
RNAcentral lists this ribosomal RNA (458 nucleotides) under uncultured bacterium. Its description in RNAcentral is "partial 16S ribosomal RNA". It matches the Rfam family "Bacterial small subunit ribosomal RNA", at positions 29 to 507 of the family's 1533-position model. The record is from RNAcentral.